Molecule: unclassified non-coding RNA, 211 nt
Filed under: Hevea brasiliensis (rubber tree)
Lineage: Eukaryota; Viridiplantae; Streptophyta; Magnoliopsida; Malpighiales; Euphorbiaceae
Source: RNAcentral
GCAACCUGUUAACCAGAAGGGUGGAUGCUGCUCCUCUUAGUUGGUUCUUUCUGCUAUUCUAGUAUGCAUUAUGCGCGAAAUAUCAAGUGCAUUUGAAUCUCUUUCUCUAUAAAGUAUCCGAUAUCCCAUUCAUUUCAAGUAGACCGUGAAUUGUUACUCUAUACCUUUCUGUAUUACGAAAGCAGUAGUGUUCAUUUUUCUUUUUCCCAAU